CCUGAAGUCCAAAGGAAAAAACGAACAGAAGCACAAAAACCCUAAGCCCAAGAUCAAAAGAAACAUGGAAAAAACCAAAAGAACCCUAAUCCUAAAGCACCUACGAACAGAAACUCUGUUUUGGUACCUCCAUGUCUUUUCUGCAAAUAGAUCGUCAUUUCAGUGCUCCGAAGGAUGCCCAAAUAUUCUGUAUGAUAUCAAUUGAGAAUGCCCCUUCAGAUAAGUAUUUGAACUUGUAACUUCAUAUCCUAGCAACAGGAUCCCGUGAAUCUGAGGUUUCAUGGCUAGAAGACUGAACCCCCGUGCUUCCCCCUGUCUCCACAGUCCAUUCCUUUACAAUGACCCGAACUGUUGUUUUUAUGGAACCCUCGCCUAGACUAGUUUCACUCCCAUCUUUAAGCCCCUCUUUAGCCAAGGGCAUCACCUUCCAAUUCAACCUUUAGGAACCCAGAUUCUACCCCAAAUCUAAUUGCUAGGCGAGGGCCCCUGCUGCAAAUGCUGUCGGGAUCUGAGUAUUGAUGAAAACUUUAUAUUUUAAAACCUUACCCCUCUAGUCACGAAUUAAAAUUCCAAAGCAUGAUAUCAUACAUUGUUUGUCAAAUGUAGCAUCAAAAUUAAUCUUCACGAAGGGAUCUCUUAGAGGGCUCCAACCUUCUUCCCAUGCAUUUCUGUCAGGUCCUUGUUCUCUUACUCCUUCAAUUUCUCGAAUAUAAUUUUUAACAAAUUGGGCUAAAUCAGCUGCAUGUUGGAUUUCCCUUUCAUGUACAAAUUUUUUACGUGACAUCCAUAAACCCCCAUAAAGUACCUACAAUUAAUCUGAUCUGUUGACUUGAUUCUUUAUUAAAUUACAACAUCACCCAAUCUUUAAUUUGUAACUCAUUUUCCUCUAGGGUCCCUCUUAUGCCCAGACUAGUCCAACAUUAAUAGCAAAAGAGCACUUCCUAAAGACAUGCUCGGUGAGCUCCCAAGUCGUUGCUGGUAAAGAUUAAACAAAGUAGAGAUAAAGUUAUUAAAAGUUUUCCAAACUAGGAUUUUAAUUUGUGAGGACAGAUCCACCACUCAGAGCUUCUUAUACAUGGUUUUUUAAAAGUCGGUGUUAGCUUGUAAAGUAAUUGGGUUAUCUAUCUGUAGUAUUUUUUUUGUAACCACUAUGUACUAAGUUCAAUCUCGAGCUUCACCACACCAGACCAACCUAUUCACUUCUUUCUCCAUGGGGAGGGGAAUGCAAAGAAUUCUUUCAGUAUCAUUGGCAUGAAAGAUCAAGAAAGACAAGAAGACGAUCUCAAACGGGGAAAUGAAAAGAUCGUGGAGUAAAUCGUGAAAUUAUAAUAUUUUGCACCGAGUAUAGCUCAGAAAUUUGGACAGAGUCGGAAUAUCAUCCACACUAUCUACAUCUUUUGGUAAAUAGAACCCGACCGAGUUAUAAUGGAUGAUGUAGAAAGUAAUGCGUCGGCUCCCGCGCCAGGGACCGCGCUUGAAGAAAGUAGACAUGAGACGCAUAGUGAGGAUGAGGCUCGGGAAGCCUUUCUUCAUAUGAUGAACAAUUGGUAUACAGAAUUUGUUCGAGCAAACCCGAAUGUUCAACCUCCUCCACCCCCUCCUAUUCUUCAACUGGUUCCCUAGCUCCACAAAAUGUUGACUUAGUAAGAUCAAGUAAACCUCCUGUUGACAAGAUCCGAAAUCAUGGGGCUGAAGAUUUCAAGGCUAAUGUAGAUGAUGAUCCGGAAAAUGUGGAGUUUUGGCUCAAAAAUUUCAUUCGGGUAUUUGAUGAAUUAUCUUGUACUCCCGAAGAAUGUUUAAAGUGUGCAAUAUAUUUAUUAAAAGACUCAGUAUAUCGUUGGUGGAAAACAUUGGUAUAUGUGGUUCCGAAAGAAAGGGUUACAUGGGACUUCUUCCGGGAUGAAUUCAGAAAAAAAAAUACAUAAGCCAACGAUUCAUCGAUCAAAAACGCAAGGAAUUUCUCGAGUUGAAGUAGGGUCGAAUGUCUGUGGUAGAGUAUGAAAGAGAGUUUGUCAGGCUCAGCAAAUAUGCCCAAGAAUGUGUGUCCACAGAGGCCAUCAUGUGCAAAAGAUUCGAAGAAGGGCUAAACGAAGAUAUUAGAUUGUAUGUUGGGAUUUUAGAGUUAAAAGAAUUUGUGGUACUGGUUGACCGAGCUUGCAAGGCUAAAGAACUGAGUAAAGAAAAGAGAAAGGCGGAGAUUGAGGCUCGGGAUGUAAGAAAAAGGUUAAUGAGUAAGACAUUUCAAUCCCAAUCAAAGAAGCUUAAAGAGAUGAAUCCACGAUCAACUGGUUCAGUUGGGUAUUCACGUAGAGAUCGAGGGAAGUCGUACUCCGGUGCUAAAACUCAAGCUACUUCAGUGGCAAGUGUGGGCAAUGUGGGAAAUAAUAAACCCAAGUGUCAACAGUGUCGUAGGCGACAUGUUGGUGAGUGUUGGGGGUUUAGAUGAGCUUGUUUCAGGUGUGGUUCUCAAGAGCACUACAUAAAAGAUUGUCCUGAGAGGAUAGAAGAAGAAAGAUUACAGAGAGUUGGAUCGAGUGAUACUGUUAGUAGAGGUAAACCCUCGAAAAAUGCUGGAAGCAGAGUUAGCGGUAAAAGUGUGGUGAAAGAUACAGCCGGGAGACCAGAAACUAGAGCUCCUGCCAGAGCUUAUGCCAUACGUGCUCGUAAGGAUGCAUCAUCUCCUGACAUGAUUACUGAUCAAGAAAGACAAGAAGAUAAUCUCAAACGGGGAAAGGAAAAGAUCGUGGAGUAAAUAGCGAAAUUACAAUAUUUUGCACCGAGUAUAGCUCAGAAAUUUGGACAGAGUCGGAAUAUCAUCCACACUAUCUACAUCUUUUGGGUAUUUUGUAACCAAUACUUUUGAAUUAUGGCAUGUAUAGAUGACUUAAUGUAAAUUGAUAUAUAAUAUAUAUAAAUGUAUUGGUUGAAUUA
Long non-coding RNA from Gossypium raimondii (Peruvian cotton), 2931 nucleotides. RefSeq lists it as uncharacterized. The transcript is spliced from 8 exons. The record is from RefSeq and is a predicted model, not a curated record. Lineage: Eukaryota; Viridiplantae; Streptophyta; Magnoliopsida; Malvales; Malvaceae.